GCCGAAAUCGAGAGUGGGAUGCUCAACCGACUGAACCACCCAGGUACCUAAACAGUCAGCACUCCAUGGGGAACAGGAGGAGCUAGAAAAAUUGGGAAAGCGAGAAGAACAACAUGAGCAGAAUCUCACCAAGGAAAUAAAGCACCUGCUUUUGAUCACUAAGAACAGAAGAUAAAAUGCUCACAUUCGAGAAUGCAAUCAACUCACUAUGUUGCUGUGGUCGGAUGUUCUCAGAACACACGGACCCGACUACGGCAUGAUGCCCUAGGAAGUGGGCUCUGUAGUGCUUCAGGAUGAUGCGUCGGCCUAAGCAGACAAAUUUUCUUCAGACAGUGCUUAUGGGGCACACAUUUCCUGUGAGGAAGAAACUGAGGACCAGAAAGUUGCAUAACUUGUUCAAGGUCUCCCUUGAGAGAACAGAGGACUUGGGAGCUGAGCCAAGGAGCGUCUGGCCAGCAUGAGCUUAUUGUGUCUGGGACCAGCUGAGCUGAACGUGGGCUCCUUUGCGGCUUCUCCGUCGCUGGCCAGCAGGCUGGCCUUCUGUUUCUCCUCCGGAAACCUUGCACACUCCUUUGAUUCAUGGUGUUAAUGGAAAACCUGUAGCUGGUGGUCCGUACAUCUGCUGGAGAAACAUUUUUCACAGAACUCACCUCAUCUGGGGACCAUGUGUCCAGGAGAGUUACCGGUUUUUGGCAAAGGGCACAUCCAGACCCACGUGCCAGCGUUACCCUCUGGAACAUCUGGUUACCAACUAAUGACAGGCAGCCAGGUAUCCUUUCCUCCAGUCGUACAUGCAGUCUUUUCCUCACCUUUGCAACCUCAUUAUGGCUAAAGCAGACAUUUAUCACCCCUGGGAAGGAGAAGAUGUGCACGUGGUUUCCACAGUGUGGUGAACCAACUUGGACACGAUACCCUCAGAGGUCUGACUGCUGCACAGCACGUCAGGACCGUUGGCCCAGGACUCCGGAGGAGUCUGGUCGUCUGCCUGCCUAGAACCUAUUGCUUGACCUUGGAUAAGUCGCUUUCCCUGUCCAGGCAUUGUGUCCCUCCGCUCUAAGGCCAGCACGAUGGCUAGGAUAUGGGAGUUGAUCAAACCGUGUUUAUUGAAUCUGCAGAAAUAUACGAAGGCUUGGGAAGAGAAUGGCUCUACUGUUCCACGUCAGGUAGAGCUGGCUCAAAGCCUGGCCUGCAGGGCUGUUGCUGACGCUGCCCACAGGUCCAGACAACCACAGACUGUGGACAGUCACGACUCGUGUAAAUUGCCAUUGUCAGCCUGGCCUCUUGGGGUCAAGCUGCUGAAGUUCCAGUAGGCCUGCUGGUAAACCCCAGGUACUAUCUGUAGAGUCGAAUGGCCCUCUUAAGAUAAGAACAGAUGUUUUCUUUUCUUUAUUUAAAAAAAAAUGU
This is a long non-coding RNA of Leopardus geoffroyi (Geoffroy's cat), 1404 nucleotides long. RefSeq lists it as uncharacterized. The transcript has 8 exons. The record is from RefSeq and is a predicted model, not a curated record. Lineage: Eukaryota; Metazoa; Chordata; Mammalia; Carnivora; Felidae.